AUUGAACGCUGGCGGCAGGCCUAACACAUGCAAGUCGAGCGAGCGGCGGACGGGUGAGUAAUGUCUGGGGACUGCCCGUUAGUGGGGGAUAACUACUGGAAACGGUAGCUAAUACCGCAUAUUAUCGGAUAACCCAUAUGUGGUUAGCUAGUAGGUGAGGUAAUGGCUCACCUAGGCGACGGUCCCUAGCUGGUAUGAGAGGAUCACCAGCCACACUGGAACUGAGGUACGGCCCAGACUCGUACGGAGGCAGCAGUGGGGAAUAUUGCGCAAUGGGCGAAAGCCGGAUGCAGCCAUGCCGCGUGUAUGAAGAAGGCCCUAGGGUUGUAAAGUACUGUCAGUCGGGAGGCGUUACCAGCAGAAGAAGCACCGGCUAACUCCGUGCCAGCAGCCGCGGUAAUAC
Molecule: ribosomal RNA, 403 nt
Filed under: uncultured bacterium
Lineage: Bacteria
Description: partial 16S ribosomal RNA
Rfam family: Bacterial small subunit ribosomal RNA
Source: RNAcentral